This 468-nucleotide ribosomal RNA is filed under the name uncultured bacterium. RNAcentral describes it as "partial 16S ribosomal RNA". It matches the Rfam family "Bacterial small subunit ribosomal RNA", at positions 28 to 507 of the family's 1533-position model. The record is from RNAcentral.
GACGAACGCUGGCGGCGUGCUUAACACAUGCAAGUCGAACGGAAAGGCCCUGCUUUUGUGGGGUGCUCGAGUGGCGAACGGGUGAGUAACACGUGAGUAACCUGCCCUUGACUUUGGGAUAACUUCAGGAAACUGGGGCUAAUACCGGAUAGGAGCUCCUGCUGCAUGGUGGGGGUUGGAAAGUUUCGGCGGUUGGGGAUGGACUCGCGGCUUAUCAGCUUGUUGGUGGGGUAGUGGCUUACCAAGGCUUUGACGGGUAGCCGGCCUGAGAGGGUGACCGGCCACAUUGGGACUGAGAUACGGCCCAUACUCCUACGGGAGGCAGCAGAGGGGAAUAUUGCACAAUGGGCGGAAGCCUGAUGCAGCAACGCCGCGUGCGGGAUGACGGCCUUCGGGUUGUAAACCGCUUUCGCCUGUGACGAAGCGUGAGUGACGGUAAUGGGUAAAGAAGCACCGGCUAACUACGUG